CUACGGGACGCAGCAGUGAGGAAUUUUGCGCAAUGGGGGAAACCCUGACGCAGCAACGCCGCGUGAGUGAUGAAGGCCUUCGGGUCGUAAAACUCUGUCAAGUGGGAAGAACCUAUGUAAGGUUAAUACCCUUAUGUACUGACGGUACCACUGAAGGAAGCACCGGCUAACUCCGUGCCAGCAGCCGCGGUAAUACGGAGGGUGCAAGCGUUAUUCGGAAUUAUUGGGCGUAAAGGGCGCGCAGGCGGGUUUGUAAGUCAGAUGUGAAAGCCCGGGGCUUAACCUCGGAAGUGCAUUUGAUACUGCAAGACUUGAGUAUGGGAGGGGGAAGUGGAAUUCCUGGUGUAGAGGUGAAAUUCGUAGAUAUCAGGAGGAACACCAGUGGCGAAGGCGACUUUCUGGACCAAUACUGACGCUGAGGCGCGAAGGCGUGGGGAGCAAACAGGAUUAGAUACCCUCGUAGUC
Molecule: ribosomal RNA, 465 nt
Filed under: uncultured bacterium
Lineage: Bacteria
Description: partial 16S ribosomal RNA
Rfam family: Bacterial small subunit ribosomal RNA
Source: RNAcentral